RNAcentral lists this ribosomal RNA (514 nucleotides) under uncultured Acaulospora. RNAcentral describes it as "SSU rRNA". It matches the Rfam family "Eukaryotic small subunit ribosomal RNA", at positions 569 to 1081 of the family's 1831-position model. The record is from RNAcentral. Lineage: Eukaryota; Fungi; Glomeromycota; Glomeromycetes; Diversisporales; Acaulosporaceae.
AGCAGCCGCGGUAAUUCCAACUCCAAUAGCGUAUAUUAAAGUUGUUGCAGUUAAAAAGCUCGUAGUUGAAUUUCGGGAUUUGUCAGUUGGUCGGGCUUCACUGUCCGUAUUGACUUGAUGGAUUCUUACCUUCUGAAUAACCAGCAUGCUAUUAAGUUAGUGCGUUGGGGAAGCAGAUCUAUUACCUUGAAAAAAUUAGAGUGCUUAAAGCGAGCUAGUGCUUGAAUAGAUUAGCAUGGAAUAAUAAAAUAGGACGGCAUGGUUCUAUUUUGUUGGUUUCUAGGAUCACCGUAAUGAUUAAUAGGGAUAGUUGGGGGCAUUAGUAUUCAAUUGUCAGAGGUGAAAUUCUUGGAUUUAUUGAAGACUAACUUCUGCGAAAGCAUUUGCCUAAGGAUGUUUUCAUUAAUCAAGAACGAAAGUUAGGGGAUCGAAGACGAUCAGAUACCGUCGUAGUCUUAACCAUAAACUAUGCCGACUAGGAAUCGGACGAUGUUAAUUUUAUAAUGACUCGUUC